GAUGAACGCUGGCGGCGUGCCUAAUACAUGCAAGUCGAGCGAACAGACGAGGAGCUUGCUCCUCUGACGUUUGCGGCGGACGGGUGAGUAACACGUGGAUAACCUACCUAUAAGACUGGGAUAACUUCGGGAAACCGGAGCUAAUACCGGAUAAUAUAUUGAACCGCAUGGUUCAAUAGUGAAAGACGGUUUUGCUGUCACUUAUAGAUGGAUCCGCGCCGCAUUAGCUAGUUGGUAAGGUAACGGCUUACCAAGGCAACGAUGCGUAGCCGACCUGAGAGGGUGAUCGGCCACACUGGAACUGAGACACGGUCCAGACUCCUACGGGAGGCAGCAGUAGGGAAUCUUCCGCAAUGGGCGAAAGCCUGACGGAGCAACGCCGCGUGAGUGAUGAAGGUCUUCGGAUCGUAAAACUCUGUUAUUAGGGAAGAACAAAUGUGUAAGUAACUAUGCACGUCUUGACGGUACCUAAUCAGAAAGCCACGGCUAACUACGUG
RNAcentral lists this ribosomal RNA (497 nucleotides) under uncultured bacterium. RNAcentral's name for it is "partial 16S ribosomal RNA". It matches the Rfam family "Bacterial small subunit ribosomal RNA", at positions 28 to 507 of the family's 1533-position model. The record is from RNAcentral.